CUACGGGCCGCUGCAGUAAGGAAUAUUGCGCAAUGGAGGCAACUCUGACGCAGCCAUGCCGCGUGCAGGAAGAAGGCCUUAUGGGUCGUAAACUGCUUUUAUUUAGGAAUAAACCCCCGAACGUGUUCGGGGCUGAAGGUACUAAACGAAUAAGCACCGGCUAACUCCGUGGCCAGCAGCCGCGGUAAUACGGAGGGUGCAAGCGUUAUCCGGAUUUAUUGGGUUUAAAGGGUGCGCAGGCGGGCUAUUAAGUCAGUGGUGAAAUCCCGGGGCUCAACUCCGGAACUGCCAUUGAUACUGAUAGUCUUGAGUUUGGUUGAAGUGGGCGGAAUGUAGCAUGUAGCGGUGAAAUGCAUAGAUAUGCUACAGAACACCAAUCGCGAAGGCAGCUCACUAAGCCAAAACUGACGCUCAUGCACGAAAGCGUGGGGAUCAAACAGGAUUAGAUACCCGUGUAGUC
This 460-nucleotide ribosomal RNA is filed under the name uncultured bacterium. RNAcentral's name for it is "partial 16S ribosomal RNA". It matches the Rfam family "Bacterial small subunit ribosomal RNA", at positions 339 to 795 of the family's 1533-position model. The record is from RNAcentral.